CGGAUGUAGUUUAAUGGUAGAACCCCAGCCUUCCAAGCUGAAUACGGGGGUCCGAUUCCCCUCAUCCG
Molecule: transfer RNA, 68 nt
Filed under: human gut metagenome
Also listed under: 2 other names
Rfam family: tRNA
About the family: Transfer RNA (tRNA) molecules are approximately 80 nucleotides in length. Their secondary structure includes four short double-helical elements and three loops (D, anti-codon, and T loops).
Source: RNAcentral